AUUGAACGCUGGCGGCAUGCCUUACACAUGCAAGUCGAACGGUAACAGGUCUUCGGAUGCUGACGAGUGGCGAACGGGUGAGUAAUACAUCGGAACGUGCCCAGACGUGGGGGAUAACGAGGCGAAAGCUUUGCUAAUACCGCAUACGAUCUAAGGAUGAAAGCAGGGGACCGCAAGGCCUUGUGCGUUUGGAGCGGCCGAUGGCAGAUUAGGUAGUUGGUGGGAUAAAAGCUUACCAAGCCGACGAUCUGUAGCUGGUCUGAGAGGACGACCAGCCACACUGGGACUGAGACACGGCCCAGACUCCUACGGGAGGCAGCAGUGGGGAAUUUUGGACAAUGGGCGAAAGCCUGAUCCAGCAGUGCCGCGUGCAGGAUGAAGGCCUUCGGGUUGUAAACUGCUUUUGUACGGAACGAAAAGGCUCUGGCUAAUACCUGGGGCACAUGACGGUACCGUAAGAAUAAGCACCGGCUAACUACGUG
Molecule: ribosomal RNA, 482 nt
Filed under: uncultured bacterium
Lineage: Bacteria
Description: partial 16S ribosomal RNA
Rfam family: Bacterial small subunit ribosomal RNA
Source: RNAcentral